AGUGAUUCAGAAUCGUCUGAGUUUGCUAAUCAAAUUCAAUCUUUCCAGACUAUGCAGAGGGACUUGCUCCUGGUACGUUUUGUUACUUUGACUCGUGAAUCCUUUUGUAAAACCUCCACUGACCAUGUUUUUGCUUCCAUUAGGCCCACUUACUUCGCCUUGCUUGUGCUUUGCCAGAAAUUACAUCAGAGCUCCUCAAUCUGGGGGUGUGUAUUUUCUUGCAUCUUAUAUAUGUAAUAAUAUAUUUGUUUGCCCCCACUUCUUAUAAGUUUUUUCUUUUCCAGAUUGUUUCAGAAGAUGUGCGAGAUAUGGCUAUCAAACCAUCAUCAUCUUUUGACAAGAAUUUUGAUCGUGUGUUUGGGA
Molecule: long non-coding RNA, 363 nt
Filed under: Salvia miltiorrhiza (redroot sage)
Lineage: Eukaryota; Viridiplantae; Streptophyta; Magnoliopsida; Lamiales; Lamiaceae
Description: long non-coding RNA (SMIL_LNC008446)
Source: RNAcentral